GACGAACGCUGGCGGCGUGCCUAAUACAUGCAAGUUGAGCGCUGAAGGUUGGUACUUGUACCGACUGGAUGAGCAGCGAACGGGUGAGUAACGCGUGGGGAAUCUGCCUUUGAGCGGGGGACAACAUUUGGAAACGAAUGCUAAUACCGCAUAAAAACUUUAAACACAAGUUUUAAGUUUGAAAGAUGCAAUUGCAUCACUCAAAGAUGAUCCCGGGUUGUAUUAGCUAGUUGGUGAGGUAAAGGCUCACCAAGGCGAUGAUACAUAGCCGACCUGAGAGGGUGAUCGGGCAAAUUGGGAAUGAGAAACGGCCCAAACUCCUACGGGAGGCAGCAGUAGGGAAUCUUCGGCAAUGGACGGAAGUCUGACCGAGGAACGCCGCGUGAGUGAAGAAGGUUUUCGGAUCGUAAAACUCUGUUGGUAGAGAAGAACGUUGGUGAGAGUGGAAAGCUCAUCAAGUGACGGUAACUACCCAGAAAGGGACGGCUAACUACGAGCCAGCCGCCGCGGUAA
RNAcentral lists this ribosomal RNA (513 nucleotides) under uncultured bacterium. RNAcentral describes it as "partial 16S ribosomal RNA". It matches the Rfam family "Bacterial small subunit ribosomal RNA", at positions 28 to 523 of the family's 1533-position model. The record is from RNAcentral.